UACGUAGGGUGCAAGCGUUAAUCGGAAUUACUGGGCGUAAAGCGUGCGCAGGCGGUUCGGCAAGAAGGAUGUGAAAUCCCAGGGCUUAACCUUGGAACUGCAUUCUUAACUGCCGGGCUAGAGUAUGUCAGAGGGGGGUAGAAUUCCGCGUGUAGCAGUGAAAUGCGUAGAGAUGCGGAGGAAUACCGAUGGCGAAGGCAGCCCCCUGGGAUAAUACUGACGCUCAUGCACGAAAGCGUGGGGAGCAAACAGGAUUAGAUACCCUGGUAGUCCACGCCCUAAACGAUGUCAACUAGCUGUUGGGGCCUUCGGGCCUUAGUAGCGCAGCUAACGCGUGAAGUUGACCGCCUGGGGAGUACGGUCGCAAGAUUAAA
Molecule: ribosomal RNA, 374 nt
Filed under: uncultured bacterium
Lineage: Bacteria
Description: bacterial SSU rRNA
Rfam family: Bacterial small subunit ribosomal RNA
Source: RNAcentral